Mesocricetus auratus (golden hamster) is the source of this 502-nucleotide long non-coding RNA. RefSeq lists it as uncharacterized. Lineage: Eukaryota; Metazoa; Chordata; Mammalia; Rodentia; Cricetidae. The transcript has 3 exons. The record is from RefSeq and is a predicted model, not a curated record.
GUCUUGCGGAGUACUGCCGCCCCCGGUCUGAAAGAAGGAGAAAAGGGCCAUCAUUGGAGGGGCUUUCACUGCCAAAUUGUGGACCAGCCCGGCAAGGUCAAAGGUUUGAGACCGCGGGAGACCAAGUAUGCUGCAAUUACACAGCUCCAAGGAAUCGACAAUGGCACGUGUGAAGAGCAGCCCUCGACAACCACACUUUUAAGUCAGCUUGGAAAGAAGAGAGACUUAAGAAACAUUAGGGAUUUGAACCUUGUAACCUGCCAUACAAAAGAGAAGAGAGAACCCCACCAUGCAAGGAUUUUAAGUCUGGAACAAAGUCUUAUUUUCUAAAUGUUUAAGGGACUGGAUUUCCUGGCCUUUCAAACAAUGGGAAUCCCAGGAUAAAUGUCUAAUCCAUUAGAAAGAUGCAAAUAGUUUACUGUAAGGCCACACAGCUCAGUGAGAUGUGCAUUCAUAUCUAAGGCUCCUGAUUGGCUCUUUCCUUCAGUAAAUCAAUGAAUAA